This 1285-nucleotide long non-coding RNA is filed under the name Mus musculus (house mouse). RNAcentral describes it as "long non-coding RNA chr9:118722480-118723765". Lineage: Eukaryota; Metazoa; Chordata; Mammalia; Rodentia; Muridae. The record is from RNAcentral.
GGGAUUUAUAACUGUUCUGGAUGCUAUAGCUGCUGCUGGCUGGCCACAGUUCUACUCCAGGAAUGGAGAGUAACUAAAGACCACAUCUCAUCAGCAAGUUAUUAAAUGCCUACGACAGUACAAAGUCUGACUUGUUUGUAUAACACUACAUCCAUGUUAGGCUAGGGAUAAGAAACAACAACACAAAUGGACAAUUGUACAAGGAGGCUGAACCUGAACUACAAACCCAUAGAGCCCUGAUUGGGAAGUGACUCAAAUGUCCAGAAACACUGCCUAGAUAUCAGCUGCAAAUACAGGAGCAAGAGUUCUCUUGUAGUCCCAUGAUUCAAAUCAGCAGCUCUCAUGUAAGACCAGUGAUUCUCAAAUUUUUAUCAGAAUCAAACACAUACAACAGAAAUUGCUAGAGCAGCAGGUGUCUGGGCCCCAACUGACUUUUUUUUUUUUUAAAUCCAGUAGGUCAGCAAUGAAUUUGUAGUGAUUUGAAUAAGAAUUCUCCUCAUAGGCCUGGGUAUUUGAGUACUUGGUACCCAGUGGGUGGUCCCUAGUCUGUUUGAGCUGGUUUGGUGGUACAGGAAGUAUGUCACUGGCGUUGGGCUUUGAGACUAGAGCCAUUUCCGGAGGCUUAUGUCACUGGGCUUUGGGGUUAGUCCCACUUCUAGUUCUACUCUCUGCUUCAUGGUCAUGGUUGAGCACUCUCAGCUUCCUGUUCCAGCCAUCACACCUCCUGCUAUGAUGGACUCAUAGCCCUCUGGAACUAUAAGCCCAUGCAAACUCUUUCUUCCAUAAGUUGCCUUGGUGUGUUUUAUGACAACAGAAAAGUAACAUAGUAUUUCAAACUGUCUUUGAGAGAUCCUGUUGCUAAACCACACUCUAUACUGUGAACAAGUCUGGACUCCAGCCAAGGGGAUCUCACCCUUCUUGUAUAGGUGUCAAGAAGCCAAGGAGACUCCUGGGGAUGGGAGAAGACUGGGUUUAUAGAUGGGAGAAGUUCCUGCUGCAUUCAGAUUCUCUUGGUUUCCUUUUCACUUACUGGGAUAAAACACUCUGACAAAAAACCAAUGUACUCAGCUUACAAUUCCAGAUACAGUCCAUCAUGGGGUGUGGGUGGGGGUGGGGGUGGGGGACAUAACAAUAGGAGCUCAGGGGACCAUUCAUACUGCAUUCAUAAUUAGGAGCACAGAAGAAAGACUGUGCCUGCUAGUACUUUUCUCUCAUACAGUCUAGGAUCCCUUCCUAGGGAUUGGUGCCACCCAUAGUGAGAUAGUCUUCACACCUCAACCUAAUC